Molecule: long non-coding RNA, 441 nt
Organism: Apus apus (common swift)
Lineage: Eukaryota; Metazoa; Chordata; Aves; Apodiformes; Apodidae
Exons: 3
Source: RefSeq, a predicted model, not a curated record
AGUAGCUGAAAGCAGGAUAUGCAACAUGCUAACUUGUAUAAGCAAUGUGUAUGAAAGAACAGCAGGUGUACAGGUUAGGAGGAGUGAUGACUUCUGCUUCAUCAUCUCAACUGGAAGAACAUGCUGCAAACAUGUAUCUGCUUGUUAUCACUUCCUAAGAUUGUGACUGUUAAGGAGACCUACAUCCUGUAACCUGUGGAACUCAUGGACACAAUCAUCCUAAGGAAAGUUUUUAUAGGAGAAAGCUGGAUUUGUAAAGGACUAUAGAUGGCAGAAAAACCUCCUUCAGUGUAUUAUGGAACUGCAAAUAGAAGAGUAAACACAGGUGGGAUUACAAGAGGAUAAGCAUACUUGGAGGGUAUAGAAAGAAACUGCUGACAUGCUGGAGAAAGUUCAAGAGUAUUACAGUAAACUCAAGGACAACCUAUUCUUUCUUUACUG